AGCGCAUCCACCGAUACCAUAUAUGGAAACAAAGCGCUGUGUGAGCGGAGGGCUACCUUCGGUGGCUGCUGUGAAUUGCGCCCACACGUCACCCAUGGAGUACCGCUGCCUCUUUCGAUCUCGUAAUUAGCGAGCCAGUCGUGCCACAUUUCAGUCCGUUUGCAACGUACCGCGCGAGACAGAUUGUCCGCACCAGCCAAUAUAUCGCAAAAUGAAGACACGUAUGAAGCUGCCCUCAAAUUUCACAUUAGGAGGCAUCGUAAUCGUUGGUGAAUUUUUUCGUGGUUCCGACCAAGGAAGUUAAAGAACAUCUGCUGGAGUGGAAGUCGCCUAUGCCGGCCUAUGAGCUCAGGUGAAGCUGGUGGCAGCAAUCUUGCGGAAAGCAGGAAGCGGCCUGCCAAGAGCUUCGCAGCGUUUUGCACCAACUUUUCCAGCAGUGUUUUAAUUCCUUAAUGAAUUUUCAAGUUCUAAUGCAACACUGUGGGCUAUGAGGCAAGCCAUAUUGCAGGUCUCCGGAUUGCAGUUAUCCGACUGUUGGGGCAUUUUCCUAUCUUAACGGCAUCAAUAUGUGGCUGCCGCAAAGUAGAAAAAAAAUUCAUGCAAUAAGCAUUUAUUCUCUUUCUUUAAUGCAGUGUAGAAAUUGAUCAAUCGUGAAAGCUGUCAGAACAAAAAACAAUUAAAAACUGAGAAUGUAGCAUGAGAAGUAGGAGUACAUGCAACAAACAUAAGUAUUCAUUAUUAUCUUCAUUAUCAUUAUGGUCUUGCCAGUGCUUUACCAUCCUCAUUGGAUGGAGCGUCUCGGAACUUUGGUUGCGACUGUUUCCUUUUAGCCUGGAAUAUAAAAUUUUUCCUUUAGUCUAGAGCAAGAUAAUGCUAAUCUGCAACGUUAUUUAAAUGAGAAGAAUAAUGUUAACAUGUCAACUGCUUGUGCGUCAACUUUCCCAUAUACACCCGAGCAUGCUAGCACAUUUUGGGACCCGCACGGCACCGCGCAUGGCGAGAUACAACGGCCCGAAACACAUGAGCUGCAGUGACUGCCGUGCUUUUGCCCCCCACCCCACCCCUCCGCAAGAUGGCAACUCAGCGGCUUCACUUCACAGGCACUCACUCCACUCCAGUGGUUUUUCUUUAACCUCCUUGGUUUCAACUAAAUUACUUGCUUUGUAGAUUGGAUUAGUAUUCGGAGUUAUGAUUGGCACAGGACUUUGGUUGGUAUGAAGUUCGGAGUGGGAAAAUUGACAUGGGGCCACUCAUUGCAGCAAAGACAGCGACACUUUGGUUUUCUUUGUAUCAACCUGGAAAGGCAAAAAGCCCUGUAAAGGCGAAUCUGCCAUGUGGCGGCAGCUCCUUGGGACUAUGACUUUGUCAUGCCAUGCUAGCAGACAGAUGAGGCAGCUCUUCACUGUCAUCAGCAGAAUUUUGCCAUCAUCAUGUUGUAUUGUAGUUUUGUCUCUACAUACUUUGUUAUGUCAAGUGUUCACAGUUUUCUGACUUCUCUUUCUACAUGUUCUGAGCACAACAGUGACCCAGUGGUGCAUACCUCUAUGCAUGUUGCCCUGCAGGGUAGCAUAAUGUUCAUUCAUGUGCAUUUGUUUGCUGAUGUAAGGGAAAUAGCUGUGGCUUUUUUCUCCUGCAUAAGAUUUGCGCAGUUCGGUGUAGAAUUGUUUGCUGGCCUGUACUUCAUUCCAAUGCUUUUAUUUUCUGCUUUCAGACCUUGGCACAAAACUUAACAGGGGUAUUAAAGGCGAACAUUAAGUCAAGCUGGAGUGAUGGAAUAGGGUUCCAGAAUGUCCGAGUGUCACUUUUAUUGAGAACAAAGCUUUUUUGCAAGUGAGAUAGUGACGUAAACAUAGGACAGUGUUCGCUUCGCCAUUGUGAACGUAUGUCUCAUUUGUAAUUGCUGAAGGGUAACUAAGUAGGUGUACAGUUGUUAAAUUCUGGUGUUAAAAAUAUAAUUACGUUGCAAUCGAAUGUAAAGAGAAAUGCAUUUGCUGAAUCAAAUAUAAUGCUGAAGAAAGAGCUCCUUUUCGAGGCAGCAUUUGUUAUGUGGCGCCCCCUUUGUGUGCGACCCACUGCAGAAAUUGGUGCAGAGCGUGGCCUCUAAAAUUGUCAGUGCAGAAUAGGACAUAUGCAUGACGCAAUUUAGCCUAAUCUUUUCAUGCUGUGUGCUUUGCACAAAACAUGCGCCGUUUUUUCAAUGUUGUUUUUUUGAGUGACUAAGUGGUGUCUUGGCAAAGAACAAGUGAACCAUAAGCUAUGUCACUCUAACCUGACAUAACGUUUGCCUUUAGUACCACCCGAACCUUCGGAAGCGUGCACAAAUUUUCAGCGAUUCACUGCUUGGAUACUAGCUUUGUGAUGGUGUUAUGAAAUGCACAUCCUGCCUAUCAAAGUCUGCAUGAGACUUUAAGUGACUAAAGGCCAACACACCUCAGUGGUUUAAAUCUGAGCACACCUCAUUGUGUUACCAGACGUUAGUGCACAAACUUUUGAGGCUUAGGUACCCCUCUUGACAUAGCAGGUGGCCUUUUUGAUCUCACCUGCGCUGUCGGCACAGUCCAAAUGUCCAGGCUAACUUAGCGCACAGGGAACCUCAAACUCUUCUCUGCUUUUAAGCAAGAACUUUUUUUUCUUGCACCAUUUUGCCAGAGAAGUCGGGUGUUCUGCAGAGUGUAGGCCUUGACAGCUAGCAGAUGGGGAACUUGGCGCAGAGGUUGCAGUUGCAGAGCCCCAGAUCGAGCUGUAUUAGAGAGUACAGUUGAACCUCGCAAUAAUGAAAUUGGCAGGGAAUGCGAAAAAAUUAGCCUUUGCAAGAAUUUUGUUGUUGCAAAAUGAGACAGCACACAUAGGCAGUGCAUUGCAGAACGAAACUUCACUGUCAAAAUUUUGCUAGCUUACAUUGGCAAGCUUUACUCGAGGAUAUAGAGCCACGUUGACGACAGUACAAAGUGUGCCGCAUGCGUUGAUUGGCAUGGCAGUGGCAGCACUGCCGUGGAGCAGUAUUCUCGGUCACUUGCUUUUUGCGAUACGGUCACUUGAGCGAGAUUUUACAUAACUCGACACUGGGCGCAGAGCAAGCAUCCACGCCAUGUUGCCAUAUCUAUUGGCGAGCACAAAUGUGAUCGUAUCUUGUAUAACCGAAGGCAGUCUAGGUUAUGGCCCCUUCGCGCGAAUGUACAUAUGGCACUGAAUCCGCAUGCGAUGCCUGUCGAGUGGCGCCAAAACCAGCGUAUUGAAGCAAGGGAUGUGUAUUUCCGGACGACCACUCAAUGACGGCCCAAUGUGAGGCACUCCAUGCUGCGACUGCCAUUUCAAGCACCGUAAACAAUUCCGCGUAGGUGGGACGGGGAUUUCCUUGUCAUUGCUGCAUUUUUCUCACUGGGACGCACAUUACACACGGCACAGGUGUGCAAAAACUGUCGUCACAUGCUUAUAGCAACAUGCGUGCUGCUUCAAACGACAUGUUUCCAGUGCACGCAAUCGCUUCCGGCGCUUGGUUGUUUUUGUAAACAAAAAUGGCGGAGCCCGUGCAAGUGUAAGGCAGUGGUAUGUUACGCAAUUUUAGUGUGAAGCAAUCACAUUUGAGCACAUUUGGAGCCUGCUAGCCUUGCGCGAGUAAGUAAUAUGCGGGGUUAAUUUCUGGCAAAUUUCGUUGAAGCAAGAUUGUAGUACAGCAACAUUUUGUUGUCGAGAGGUAUGAAAUGCAUUGAAUCCUAUGGGCUUUUGCCAUGGGUACGAAAAUAUUUCAUUGUCGCGGGAUUUCGUUACCGCGGGUUUCGACUGUACUAGCAGCCAUUGCUGUGACGGUUGAAAAAAAAAAAAAAAAGCUUGCUUCUUGUGAUCAGAGGCCGCAGCCACUAAAGAGAUGAACUGCAGUGCUUAGACAAUGCUUCUUGUGAGGAUACAGCAUUGGACGUGCAGCUUCAGCCACUCCAGUGACUGCAAAUCCUUCAGUCCUUCCCCAUUGCACAUUUCGUAGCAGACGUGCACACUCGGCACGCCUUAUUUCAGUUGAACGCACAGGCCUCUUUGUUUCUGCUACCAGAAGGCUGGAGAAAGCUAAGCUUAGGGGUUGAAGUCCCGCAACCCUCUGACCCCCGGUCACAUCUGCAAGCAUCGCUAGUCCGCCAGAGAUCAUUCGCAUUGUCGAUAUUUGAUAGGUUCUUGCCCCUCUGUCUAACAAGGCCACUGGCCCGCUUGCAAUUUGCAGAGGACGUGUCUGUUGUGUGGCAGCUUUGUGAUCUUUCAGUCAGUCAGUUGGUCGUCGCAAUCGUCUAAAGCAUUUCGUCUUUCCCAGUCUUCCCGGGGUUUCUUAGAAACGCGCCAAUGUGAUGCGGCUUUCUCCGAGUGUUGUUCUUUUUUUUGUAGGUCGUUGAUUAUUUAUUGCAUUCCUGUACACACAGUUGAGAACCAGGUGACAGCAGCUCUAUGCGCGAUAUGUGAUGCUGAGGGCACCCCUAUCUCUCUCUCCUUUGAGACUCGGAUCGUUUCAUAUUAGAUUAUACAUAUUAUAUAUAUAUAUAAAUAUAUACAUAUGAAAUGUGUAUAUACAUAUGAUGAAAUGCGAGUUUGCGGCUUCCAGUUGGACAAAGCCACGGCGAUGUGCCACUGCGACUUUUAUCGUUGUACUAUUGAGAUUAGCGCUUGACAAAACAUAGAGUGAGCUGCAGUGGCAAAAGGGUUUUAUAUCCAUGUGUCUGUGUGUUUUGUGGCUUGUUCCUUAUACAUAUAUAUAUAUAAAUAUAUAACAAAUGUUGUAAGAGACCUUAAUUCAUGUGGAAGCACAAAAAGUAUAUGUCAUGCCUGAUUGUGUGAAUUGCGUGGUGUAGGCUAUGGUGUGAUUGAUCUGACGCACACCUCAGUGUCUCCUAAUUAAAGGCCAAGCACAAAAAGUGUGUUGAGACGAAUGGACUGCUGUUGUUUUAGACUCCUUUCUUUUUGUGUGUCUGUGUGUCUGUCUGGUUUUUUUAAUAAAGCCUCACUGCUGCUUGU
RNAcentral lists this long non-coding RNA (4992 nucleotides) under Dermacentor andersoni. RNAcentral describes it as "uncharacterized LOC126524604". The record is from RNAcentral. Lineage: Eukaryota; Metazoa; Arthropoda; Arachnida; Ixodida; Ixodidae.